Long non-coding RNA from Acipenser ruthenus (sterlet), 1799 nucleotides. RefSeq lists it as uncharacterized. The record is from RefSeq and is a predicted model, not a curated record. NCBI's taxonomy places the organism in Eukaryota, Metazoa, Chordata, Actinopteri, Acipenseriformes, Acipenseridae. The transcript is spliced from 4 exons.
GAUUACAGACGAGACGACAGGUUGAAGUUUUCUUGAUAUGAGUUUAUUUAUUUUAGAAAAAUACACUGUGACUCACUGUCUGAUGUUAUUUUAUUUUUAAUAUGUAACGUUUUAAUGCAAUUUGCUCUGGUAAUGAGGCGCUUUGAUAUAAUAUAUAUAUAUAUAGGUAAAUGUGCCUCCCUGUUUUGGGUCUUGUGUUGAAUCCUGUACGCCUUCAUGGAAAAUAACGUUAUUUUUAAGUAAAGAAUUGCAGAUGGUAAACCUCGGGUAAAAGCGAUCACAUGUUGGACUUGGAUUGGAGCUGGAGGACUGUGGGAGAGAAGUAAAGAAGAAACACUCUGGUGGAAUUCGAUGGCUUUGGAAGAUUCUAGGUUCUGCAAGUACAUCAAGACUGGGUGUAUCCAAAAGUGCUGGUACCUCUGUCAACAGUGCACAGCACAAGUGUUACAGUGAGCAGUUGGUCACUAUGGAUGAAGUUUUGGGAUACUUAGCCAUACAAAUACAAUCUGCCAGAAUCUCAAAGUUCAACAUUAACAGAAGAGACAUCUGGGAUGGAGCUGUACGUGGUUUUAAGAGUAGUUCUUAUGAACCAUGCUAGUGAAGUUUACGGAUGACUCUAGCAAUACUGAAGAUGGAAUUGAUGCUGGAGGGCCAAAGAGGGAGUGUCUUCAACUUUUGAUUCAGAAGUUAAAAGUUACUUUGCCUCAAACUAUUUCCGGAAUGGUUUCUGCUGGUGAGAUUGAGGGUCAGCAUGAUACAGGGGGUGGCCAGAACAACAAUGUGUGGGCAGUUUCAAACAGGAAAAUGGAGUUGGUUUGACAGGCUGUGCCCUACGUCCAAGUUGAUUUGUAAAUUAACAAUGCAUUAACGUUUUGCUUUUAAAAGAGAUUUCUGCUGCAUUUUAUUCUUUAAACUGGAUCCUGUAAUUAUGUGGAGUUAUAAAAUGCAAAAGUGUAUUCUCCUUGAUGCUUGUCCUUGAAGGUUGUGUGCAUUCUGAAAGGACCACCUACUCAAUUUCUUUGUAAUAGCCCAUGCAUUGCGAAAGGACAAGUAAUUAUGGUAACAAGCAACACAAAGCAAGCUAAAAAGUCCCUGUUCUGUUUUAGUUUGAAAUAUAGAAUUUUAAUUUUAAAAGCAUGCUGAAAAAAUGGCUUUGAAGUGUGUAAAGUAUUCUUAAAAUCCAGCUACUCUUAGUUUGUAGUGUGCAAUCUAAAGGUGUGUUUAUCCAAAGCCUAUGUAAAACUGGCUACAUAUAGUAGAAAAGUAAGUUGCUGUUAGUGAUGCACAUUUCUCAUAACCUUUGUGGCAUGUAGAAUUUACUGUGCAAAUCAUUAGAUACUGUAACAAUUAAACUGCUUUGGAAACUAAAGAAAUUAUUCUUGUAGUAUGGUUGAACAUUUUUCUUUCUGAGAUUACACUGAAGCCAAAUGUGAAAGUUUUACUUUUAUUAUUUUUUACUUUCUGUAGAUUUGAUUGCUUAGUUAUAAAAAAAAAAAUACAUUAUACAUUAUUUAAUUUGGGGAUAUCUUGCAUUGACUUUUACCACCAGUUUGUCAUUUAUGAAUAACUUUACAUAAUGCAUGGGUCAGGAAGGUACUCAUGUAUUGCAUUGUGUCCAGAUAGAGAGAUUUUAUAUACUAUCUAUCUUAUCAGGACAUAAUACAAUUGUACCUUCCUGACCCAUGAAUUCAUUGGAUUGUGGGAAGUGUUAAUUCAUGCUUUAUACAUAUGAUCAACAUAAUUUGUUACAAAAGAACAUGGAAUGAACAUGGGUAAUUAAAUUCAACAUUAUUGUCCUA